CGCCGGGGUCUCCUUUCUGUCCGGGGAAGCCUGGCUGGCCAGCAGCACCGGGAAUACCUUUCUCUCCCCUAACGCCACCACUUCCUGGGGGACCACGAGGGCCUUGUGGGCCAGGCACACCUUCAUACAGAAAAGACCAGAGCAGAUCAGAGGGUGGAGUUCAAGCUCUAACAGUGACUGUGAGGAGGAACGUGCAUAAAAGUCUGGACGCAGUCAAUCUGACCUGAUGGACCUGUGGUGGGCGGCACCGAGCGUCGGCACGAAGCAGGGUCGAAGGCAGAGCCAUGGGAAAUGGAGGUCACAAAAUGCAAUGACGAGGUUGGAAGACGUGUGGGGAUCAGCCGGAUGCAAGUGAUGACAACUCGUUGAUCAUUUAAGGUGGUGCUUGAAAUGCCACACAUUUCACAAUGGCAGAGUUUGUGCAGAGUGGUGGAGCCAUACCUGAUGGUCCAGGAAGUCCUGGCCGUCCAUCUGAUCCUGGAAGCCCAGGGUCACCAGAGAUACCAGGGAUCCCCUUUUGGCCCGGAAAUCCUGUCUUGCCUGGCAGUCCUGGUUCUCCUUUAUCACCCUUUGAAGACAAAGGUGGUGGGCUGUAUCCAGGAGCUCCCGGUGGGCCAACACUACCUCUUUCUCCUUUGAUUCCAGAAGAACCAGGAACACCAUCUCU
Molecule: long non-coding RNA, 667 nt
Organism: Hippocampus zosterae (dwarf seahorse)
Lineage: Eukaryota; Metazoa; Chordata; Actinopteri; Syngnathiformes; Syngnathidae
Exons: 5
Source: RefSeq, a predicted model, not a curated record